RNAcentral lists this ribosomal RNA (497 nucleotides) under uncultured bacterium. RNAcentral describes it as "partial 16S ribosomal RNA". It matches the Rfam family "Bacterial small subunit ribosomal RNA", at positions 28 to 507 of the family's 1533-position model. The record is from RNAcentral.
GAUGAACGCUGGCGGCGUGCCUAAUACAUGCCAGUCGAGCGAACAGACGAGGAGCUUGCUCCUCUGACGUUAGCGGCGGACGGGUGAGUAACACGUGGAUAACCUACCUAUAAGACUGGGAUAACUUCGGGAAACCGGAGCUAAUACCGGAUAAUAUAUUGAACCGCAUGGUUCAAUAGUGAAAGACGGUUUUGCUGUCACUUAUAGAUGGAUCCGCGCCGCAUUAGCUAGUUGGUAAGGUAACGGCUUACCGAGGCGACGAUGCGUAGCCGACCUGAGAGGGUGAUCGGCCACACUGGAACUGAGACACGGUCCAGACUCCUACGGGAGGCAGCAGUAGGGAAUCUUCCGCAAUGGGCGAAAGCCUGACGGAGCAACGCCGCGUGAGUGAUGAAGGUCUUCGGAUCGUAAAACUCUGUUAUUAGGGAAGAACAAAUGUGUAAGUAACUAUGCACGUCUUGACGGUACCUAAUCAGAAAGCCACGGCUAACUACGUG